GGCGGGGUAGCUCAGUUGGUUAGAGCAACGGCUUCAUAAGCCGUGUGUCGGCGGUUCAAGUCCGCCCCCCGCUA
RNAcentral lists this transfer RNA (74 nucleotides) under Planctomycetales bacterium. Its description in RNAcentral is "tRNA-Met". It matches the Rfam family "tRNA". From Rfam's summary of the family: Transfer RNA (tRNA) molecules are approximately 80 nucleotides in length. Lineage: Bacteria; Pseudomonadati; Planctomycetota; Planctomycetia; Planctomycetales. RNAcentral also lists the same sequence under 1 other name. The record is from RNAcentral.